RNAcentral lists this ribosomal RNA (497 nucleotides) under uncultured bacterium. RNAcentral describes it as "partial 16S ribosomal RNA". It matches the Rfam family "Bacterial small subunit ribosomal RNA", at positions 28 to 507 of the family's 1533-position model. The record is from RNAcentral.
GAUGAACGCUGGCGGCGUGCCUAAUACAUGCAAGUCGAGCGAACAGACGAGGAGCUUGCUCCUUUGACGUUAGCGGCGGACGGGUGAGUAACACGUAGGUAACCUACCUAUAAGACUGGGAUAACUUCGGGAAACCGGAGCUAAUACCGGAUAAUAUUUCGAACCGCAUGGUACGAUAGUGAAAGAUGGCUUUGCUAUCACUUAUAGAUGGACCUGCGCCGUAUUAGCUAGUUGGUAAGGUAACGGCUUACCAAGGCAACGAUACGUAGCCGACCUGAGAGGGUGAUCGGCCACACUGGAACUGAGACACGGUCCAGACUCCUACGGGAGGCAGCAGUAGGGAAUCUUCCGCAAUGGGCGAAAGCCUGACGGAGCAACGCCGCGUGAGUGAUGAAGGUCUUCGGAUCGUAAAACUCUGUUAUUAGGGAAGAACAAACGUGUAAGUAACUGUGCACGUCUUGACGGUACCUAAUCAGAAAGCCACGGCUAACUACGUG